This 406-nucleotide ribosomal RNA is filed under the name uncultured bacterium. RNAcentral describes it as "partial 16S ribosomal RNA". It matches the Rfam family "Bacterial small subunit ribosomal RNA", at positions 29 to 526 of the family's 1533-position model. The record is from RNAcentral.
AUUGAACGCUGGCGGCAGGCUUAACACAUGCAAGUCGAGCGAGCGGCGGACGGGUGAGUAAUGUCUGGGAAACUGCCUGAUGGAGGGGGAUAACUACUGGAAACGGUAGCUAAUACCGCAUACCAUCAGAUGUGCCCAGAGGGGAUUAGCUAGUGGGUGGGGUAAGGGCUCACCAAGGCGACGAUCCCUAGCUGGUCUGAGAGGCUGACCGGCCACACUGGAACUGAGACACGGUCCAGACUCCUACGGGAGGCAGCAGUGGGGAAUAUUGGACAAUGGGCGCAAGCCUGAUGCAGCCAUGCCGCGUGUGUGAAGAAGGCCUUCGGGUUGUAAAGCACUGUCAGCGGGGAGGCGUUACUCGCAGAGGAAGCACCGGCUAACUCCGUGCCAGCAGCCGCGGUAAUAC